Molecule: small RNA, 87 nt
Filed under: unclassified sequences
Description: GA-cis RNA
Rfam family: GA-cis RNA
Source: Rfam by way of RNAcentral
AGGAGGAGGACGCAUAUGUGCGAAGCACAUAUUUAGGAUGCGUCCGGCGACCUGCCGCCGAACGAAUGUGAGGAGGCAAUACCGCGA